This 659-nucleotide long non-coding RNA is filed under the name Homo sapiens (human). Its description in RNAcentral is "HSALNT0081817". The record is from RNAcentral. Lineage: Eukaryota; Metazoa; Chordata; Mammalia; Primates; Hominidae.
AUAUAUUCAUUAAAAUAUCACACAGGUAAUUCCUCAUUUCCCUAGUAGCUCUUACCACCUUUCCAGAUUUGAGUGUUGAAGAGACCAGUCUUCUUACUGGCUGCCCCAGGCAUUCAGCAAAACUCAGUCUUUGUAGGAAUGUCUUAGAUCUGCUUUUUUAGAUGGAACCUAGUCUAUAUCAGUUUACUAGUUCCAUACGACGUGGCUAAACUCAUUUUUCAGAUGCUUUGAAUGGAGUAUAGAAGACUAUUGCUUUACUAAAAAAGCAAACAUGAAAACUUCAAGCCUCACAGUCAGCUCCUAUCAAUUUCCCUUUAAUUACCUCCUCAAGUACCUGUUAAUGGCUCAUUAGUUAUAAAAAUAAAUUAUAGGUACUCUGCCACCCUGUUUGUAGUUUCUUUAGUUUUUGAUUUCGCUAACCCCAGGAAAAUGGAUGUGUGGCAAUAAUACAGGAAUGUGAAUCAAAUUGCUCUGUAAUUUUAUAUAUUUAAUAAAGUAUACAGCAGGGCCGUGUGCACAUGGGGUUAAGCUGUGGUGGAGGAAAGUGCUCUGUGAGAAAACUGAAGUCCUCAUACACCAUGUUGGCUGCCUAUGUUUCAUUUCACGACAUAGUGCUCAGCAAAUAGGGCUGAUUGGUUUUCAGUCCGGUUUUGUGUGGU